UUUACAUCUAUAUAUACAUUUUUGCAGCCAUUUUGUGAAAUAAAUCUUGUAGUUGAGACUUAUUUACAAUGGCUGCCACUGGAUUUUAAUGUUUGUUUUUGAUAAUUAGAAAAAAAUCUUUGAAUUAAAUAUGUGACAUUUAACAAUCUUCCUUAAAUCUCUCCACAUUAACUACACGAUUAGUUACUAAAAUAAAACUUCCAAAAUAUUUAAUAUCAUUAAACCACAGAGAUAUUUGAUAGCAUUUAAUUACUACAAAAUUACAAAAUAUUUAGAUAAUAAUUUAUGAACAUAUCAUAAAUAAGAUCAGCAUUAAUAAAAUAAAUGGUUUUUUUACGGGACGGGUUUGACAGGACGUUACUUAAUAACAAUUGUAAUUAUAAAAUAAAAAUAUUUUAUAGAUAUAUACAAUUUACAAACUUGUAUGUAUACUAACUUUAAAAAAUAAAUUGUUCCCGCAGUGUACCGCGGGUUAAAAUCUAGUAAAUAACUUAAAAUCUUAGAUUGAAUACAUCUCUUUUGGUUGUGAUAUUUUUCAAAAAUCCUCAUUAUUGUAUAUCUU
RNAcentral lists this small RNA (562 nucleotides) under Arabidopsis thaliana (thale cress). RNAcentral describes it as "ATSL108200". Lineage: Eukaryota; Viridiplantae; Streptophyta; Magnoliopsida; Brassicales; Brassicaceae. The record is from RNAcentral.